CCUACGGGAGGCAGCAGUAGGGAAUUUUGCGCAAUGGGCGAAAGCCUGACGCAGCAACGCCGCGUGAUCGAGACGCCCUUCGGGGUGUAAAGAUCUGUCAGUGGGGGCGAAACUUGACGGUACCCACAGAGGAAGCACCGGCUAACUCCGUGCCAGCAGCCGGGGUACUACGGGGGGUGCAAGCGUUGUCCGGAAUUAUUGGGCGUAAAGAGUUCGUAGGCGGCACGGAAAGUCUGGUGGUAAAGGCAGGGGCUCAACUUCUGUACGGCACUUGAUACUUGCGAGCUAGAAUGCGGUAGAGGUAAAGGGAAUGCGUGGUGUAGCGGUGAAAUGCUUAGAUAUCAGGAGGAACAUCGGUUGCGGAGGCACUUUACUGGGCCGUAAUUGACGCUCAGGAACGAAAGCCAGGGUAGCAAAUGGGAUUAGAUACCCCUGUAGUC
RNAcentral lists this ribosomal RNA (440 nucleotides) under uncultured bacterium. Its description in RNAcentral is "partial 16S ribosomal RNA". It matches the Rfam family "Bacterial small subunit ribosomal RNA", at positions 338 to 795 of the family's 1533-position model. The record is from RNAcentral.